UCAGGUUGCUCAAAGGUUUAUCAUGCUAAAGAACAUCCAUCAUUAUCUGGAAUCAACACCCAAAUGGUUGAACAAAACAAUUCGAAGCUACAGAAAUUGAAGAGCCAGUUGUCCUAUAUGAACUAUGAUAAUUUCAUCCUCCAUUUAAAUUUUUUUUUGUGGUAUUGUAACUAUAAAACUUGUCCCAGUUAAGGUUAUUUGUUAACAAAUGACUAUGAAUCAAUCUAAGAACAAUCCUAUUUAUUUGACCAUCUGCUAAUAGGAAAUAAUUUUAUCAAUAAUUUUACUAAUAAUUAAUGCAGAAAUAUAUCAAGAGAA
This 318-nucleotide long non-coding RNA is filed under the name Mytilus galloprovincialis (Mediterranean mussel). The record is from RNAcentral. Lineage: Eukaryota; Metazoa; Mollusca; Bivalvia; Mytilida; Mytilidae.